UGGGGAAUAUUGGGCAAUGGGGGAAGCCCUGACCCAGCAACGCCGCGUGAGGGAAGAAGGUUUUCGGAUCGUAAACCUCUGUCCUCAGGGACGAAAGAAAUGACGGUACCUGAGGAGGAAGCCCCGGCUAACUACGUGCCAGCAGCCGCGGUAAUACGUAGGGGGCAAGCGUUGUCCGGAACGAUUGGGCGUAAAGGGCGCGUAGGCGGCCUGUUAAGUCUGGAGUGAAAGUCCUGCUUUCAAGGUGGGAAUUGCUUUGGAAACUGGCGGGCGGGAGUGAAGGAGAGGUUAGUGGAAUUCCCGGUGUAGCGGUGAGAUGCGUAGAGAUCGGGAGGAACACCAGUGGCGAAGGCGACUAACUGGACUGUAACUGACGCUGAAGCGCGAAAGUGUGGGGAGCAAACA
This 405-nucleotide ribosomal RNA is filed under the name uncultured bacterium. RNAcentral describes it as "bacterial SSU rRNA". It matches the Rfam family "Bacterial small subunit ribosomal RNA", at positions 355 to 774 of the family's 1533-position model. The record is from RNAcentral.